This 465-nucleotide ribosomal RNA is filed under the name uncultured bacterium. Its description in RNAcentral is "partial 16S ribosomal RNA". It matches the Rfam family "Bacterial small subunit ribosomal RNA", at positions 338 to 795 of the family's 1533-position model. The record is from RNAcentral.
CCUACGGGUGGCUGCAGUAGGGAAUCUUCCACAAUGGGCGAAAGCCUGAUGGAGCAACGCCGCGUGGGUGAAGAAGGUCUUCGGAUCGUAAAACCCUGUUGUUAGAGAAGAAAGUGCGUGAGAGUAACUGUUCACGUUUCGACGGUAUCUAACCAGACAGCCACGGAUAAUUACGUGCCAGCAGCCGCGGUAAUACGUAGGUGGCAAGCGUUAUCCGGAUUUAUUGGGCGUAAGGGGAACGCAGGCGGUAUUUUAAGUCUGAUGUGAAAGCCUUCGGCUUAACCGGGGUAGUGCAUUGGAAACUGGGAGGCUUGAGUGCGCAGGAGGAGGGUGGAACUCGAGGUGUAGCGGUGAAAUGCUUAGAUAUAUGGAAGAACACCAGUGGCGAAAGUAGCUCUCUGCUCUGUAACUGACGCUGAGGUUCGAAAGCGUGGGUAGCGAACAGGAUUAGAUACCCGAGUAGUC